Molecule: unclassified non-coding RNA, 155 nt
Filed under: soil metagenome
Description: partial internal transcribed spacer 1
Source: RNAcentral
CUAGUGACCCCGGUCUAACCACCGGGAUGUUCAUAACCCUUUGUUGUCCGACUCUGUUGCCUCCGGGGCGACCCUGCCUUCGGGCGGGGGCUCCGGGUGGACACUUCAAACUCUUGCGUAACUUUGCAGUCUGAGUAAACUUAAUUAAUAAAUUA